RNAcentral lists this non-coding RNA (154 nucleotides) under unclassified sequences. The record is from RNAcentral.
AUCUUCCAUGUCGUGUCGUACGAGAUGCUACAUAGCUUAUAAAAGUAAGCAAUAAACUAAGCAUACAGGUCGACACAUCUCUGUUCCGUCAUACGUAUACGGAAGAAAGUCGCGACCGGAAGUUUUACGACACCUGGGAACAGGCUGUCCGGAG